GGCGGGCGGCGGCGGCGACGGUUCCUCCCGCCCAAGUGCGAUGUUCCUCCCGCCCAAGUACGAUAGUCCACAUAAGUACUUCGCUCGCCUUCGUCGACGACGCCCGAUGCAGCCCAAGUGCGAUGUGCUUCCGCCUUAGCCGACGCAGUCGGCCACGACUAGCAGCAACCCCCGAGCCCGACGCACCGCUGCCGCCUGCCGCGGCUCCGCCUACUCCUCUGCCACCGGGUCGCGCUGCGAGGAUAGCCGCCGCUUCAUCAGAGGACGCGCUUAUCAAAGGUACAACCUCAUCGUUCUCCCACCUUGGCCUGGAUUCGGUCAUAAAAAUGGUGCUGGAUAGUGGAUCUGACUGCCCCCUCUCCUGUCUCUGUGUUUCUCCCAUCCGAAACCCUAGGCCGGGCAGAGGCGAGUCUACUGGGCAGGCUCCUCAGGCCCAGCCAUCUACGUCCCCAACUCACCAUUAGCCUGGAAUCCUGAUCCUUCCACACAUUUCCUCUCAAUAUCUGUGUGUUUGACGAGAAGCACGCAACACUCGCAACCCGUGAGAUGCAAAAUUACCAGCACAUGAGUAAUUUAGCACCUUGUGCAUAUGAACGAGUAUUGGAGUACCUAAUUAAGUGAUUAGAGAUUGACUGCUACUUGAUGUUUAGCACCUUUCCGAACAGUACUAACUGAAUGCCCCGUGCCGCUGCAGUAAUCUAGAAAACUUUGCCGAACAAUGUAACUGGGAGAUUUUGGCAAUUGGGCCUGACAAGUCCAAUUUUUUGUUCAAAAUUUGGUAAUUUUCAGAAAAACAUCUAGAAAUAUUCCAGUACUUAUCUGGUAAAUUUUAGAUACUUGGACAAUAAAAUUAGGACAUGAUGGCUAUUUUGCUAAACAGAUCCAAAAUUUGGUUCAAAACUUUGUAUUUUAAGAAAAUCAAAGGUAUCUCAAAUAAUUAUUAAAUGUGCUCAAUAGCAAUCCAGGAAAUUUUGAGCUUAUUUGCACUACGGCAUUAGGAGAUGUUGACUAUUUUUUUCUUUGAUUUUUUGUUUGCUUGGUGUUAAACUUUGAGCCCACCCUUCAUUUUCUUUCUGGAAUCGCCACUGGGCCGGGGAGCUGCUGACGGGUGCCGCAUCUGAAUCCAUGCCGGACCUCUUAUUGCAAGCUUGGAACACACUGCUCGAAGGUGACAGGAUGCCUGGAGCAACUGUCGAUGCAGCAGAAGGUCAGCUGUUCUGCACUGGAUCGGGGAGAUCAGUUUCUGUCAGCUAGAGGGCUAUAAAAAGGGCACGGGCAAUUGGUCAGGAAGGAGGUGGAGAAGACUGAUAUCAAGAGAAGUAAUAGCUUAUGUGCCCAACUUUUGUUUUGUAGUAGAACUGUUCCAUUGUUCGUUUCUGCAUGUAUUGUACCUGAUGACCAUUUUUUGUGUUUGAGAACAACCGUUUGACAACGUACCUGAUGCAGAGGACGUAUCGAGAGAAAGGGACACUCCAUUUAGAGGCAAACCUUGCUUUCACCUUUUUCCCUGUAGAGACAAUAUUGAAUGUUGCAACAAUAGCCGAAAAGUAUGCAGGUUUGAUAAUUGUACCAA
This is a long non-coding RNA of Triticum dicoccoides, 1573 nucleotides long. RefSeq lists it as uncharacterized. NCBI's taxonomy places the organism in Eukaryota, Viridiplantae, Streptophyta, Magnoliopsida, Poales, Poaceae. The record is from RefSeq and is a predicted model, not a curated record. The transcript has 2 exons.